GAAACCGGGGCUAAUACCGGAUGCUUGAUUGAACCGCAUGGUUCAAUCAUAAAAGGUGGCUUUCAGCUACCACUUACAGAUGGACCCGCGGCGCAUUAGCUAGUUGGUGAGGUAACGGCUCACCAAGGCGACGACGCGUAGCCGACCUGAGAGGGUGAUCGGCCACACUGGGACUGAGACACGGCCCAGACUCCUACGGGAGGCAGCAGUAGGGAAUCUUCCGCAAUGGACGAAAGUCUGACGGAGCAACGCCGCGUGAGUGAUGAAGGUUUUCGGAUCGUAAAACUCUGUUGUUAGGGAAGAACAAGUACCGUUCGAAUAGGGCGGCACCUUGACGGUACCUAACCAGAAAGCCACGGCUAGCUACGUGCCAGCAGCCGCGGUAAUACGUAGGUGGCAAGCGUUGCCCGGAAUUAUUGGGCGUAAAGCGCGCGCAGGCGGUUUCUUAAGUCUGAUGUGAAAGCCCCCGGCUCAACCGGGGAGGGUCAUUGGAAACUGGGGAACUUGAGUGCAGAAGAGGAGAGUGGAAUUCCACGUGUAGCGGUGAAAUGCGUAGAGAUGUGGAGGAACACCAGUGGCGAAGGCGACUCUCUGGUCUGUAACUGACGCUGAGGCGCG
Molecule: ribosomal RNA, 618 nt
Filed under: uncultured Bacilli bacterium
Lineage: Bacteria; Bacillati; Bacillota; Bacilli
Description: bacterial SSU rRNA
Rfam family: Bacterial small subunit ribosomal RNA
Source: RNAcentral